ACCGGGGAGGACGCAGGCGAGCUUGAGAGUGGUUGGGGACGGACCGGAGCAGCGAAUCAACGGCGAGGUGCGGCGGCUGUGACGGUGAGGAAGUUGACCGUGGCAUCGUCUUGGGGCCUGCAGGUGCGAAUGGAGUAGUUGGCGAGGACGAGCGCGACGUGACGGAGCUCCUGGUCACACCGGGAAGUUCAGAGGCGGUCGGCGGCCACGGGAUCGACGCGGCGACGGCGUCGACCCCGUCGGGUGCCUCUCCAGAUCGGGGAGGAGAGCGAGGGGGAGAAGGGGGUAGUGGCUAGGGCUUGACCGGGGUCGCGGGGUCAGUCUUGUAGGCAGCCAGGGGGCGUCGACGGCCGGCACGGUUUACCCCCUGCCUCCACUGUAGCGAGAGGAAGGGGAUGCCCCAUGCGGGCUGGGCUGGCCGUACGUGUUGAGUUGAAGCCCAAUAGUGCAAUGCAUCACUAACCUUUUCAUUUUUUUCUAACAAAAUCAUUGUAACACUGUUUGUAUUUUAUUUAAUUUCAAAUGAAUUUUAUUGCACAUGAAACUUGUCACAUAGUUACUUUGAAAAGUUUUGGAUCUACCCACAAAGUUUAGGGGCAUUUUGAAAUCAUCUGGAUUAUGUUUAAAUUUAGAACGCUCUCAUAAGUGGUGUUGAUCCUCUGUUUUAAUUGCUAGGGACAUUUUGGGCAACCAAAAGGAGUUGGCAUUAUUUUUACCAAUACUAGGGGAUUAUUUGGAAAUUUGUAAAUAUUUUUGUUUUGCAUUUUGAAGAAAUAUUAGUUUGACUUUGAUUUAAAACUCGGUUUGUAUCAAAGUGAGGUUUAGCAAUUAAUUGCGAUGACAUGGCACCAUUAGCGUGUGAUUACUGUAGCUGAACUACCGGGGUGUUACAAAUCUCCUCCACUACAAGAAAUCUCGUCCCGAGAUUUAAGAGUGGAGUAAGGGGGGAAAGAGUUGGUUAUGAAAUUCUAACGAGUCUUCACGGUCUUGGUUGCCCUUAUCGAAGAAGUUGAUCCUUUUCUUUGAUGCCUUCAUUUCGCUGCAUCAGGGUAUCUUGAUGAAGUCAUCAUCCUCCCUUCAGGAUCUUCACCGUACUUACGAAAGGAUGAGAGGGGAAAACUCUAUAAGGAAGGGUUUUAACAAGACUGAGCAUCAGACGAUUAACUCAGGGAAGAAGUAUAAAGUGUCUAUCGAGUUGAUUAUAUGAAACACCUUGAGAACAUUAUAGGGGGGUACGAAAGUUUCAAAUGGGUAAGCAAUCGUUCGAUGCCUAAAGUAGAGUGUGAUGGGGGGUUCAGAGCAAUGGAAUAAGUAUUGCGUAUGAUACCAGAAUAGAUCAUCUCUAGGACGGUGGCUCAUGAAUUACAUACGAAGGCAAGUGCAAAGGAUACUUCGGAAUCAAGGAUGUACAGGAGAGUCAGGUUUCGAUCCUGUUGAACUGUGGGUAUGGGCCCACCAUGUGGUUCAAAAGUAGGAAGGACGCUGACAUAUAGCACGGUCAUGGUAGCAAGGCAUGUCAGAGGAUAGCCUGUCAGUUAUGUUGGCAACAACGUUGGUACCAAGGGCGAGGGAUGAAGAGAACCAUUUUCCUGCUCGUUGAAACGAGGCGGACCAAUAGGCAAUGUUCUCGUCCAUCGGCGGUUACCGGAAUGUCAUCAACAAUAGUAACAGGGUCUUACUGACAGAGUUGUACAUCGAGGUGUUUACCUAAGCAACAAAAUAUUACUGCUUAUAUCAUACAGAUCACACAAAAAAAGUUAAACAAAACAAUGGAAAGGAAGAGGUGUAUACACGAGUAUUAGGUGUAUCUCCUUCCCAGGAGCAAGCAGAGCGGGAUAAUCAUGACAGGACUGCAAGUAGUUAACCAACUAGGGAAAAGGGUGGGGAAACUCGUGAUGUUACCCAUACAAUGGUGUGUGGAUAGUUGAUCAAGAAACAUUUAGUAUUGCGCCGCCAAUGUUCUUAUUGAUGAACGGAGUACCAUAGUUGUGCUUCGGGAUAGCAUUGACAUGGUCAUCAGGUAAAGGUCAGUCUUUGGAUACUCAAGGGAUCCAUCGAAUUUUUUUAGAACAUCUCAUGCAAUUUUACCAGGAAAAAGAUGAGGAUGUGGCCGAUGGGUUCAGCAGCAAUCCAUCGACAUGUCAAAAAUGAUGUAUUUCCAAAAUUGUAUGAACUAGUUUGUGUUGGGGGGAGGCAAGAAUGUUUUCGAUGAUAACAUAAAUCAUCAAGGGGCAAGGAUGGUAUUUCUCAUCAUGAAUUCGAUUGAUACCCUGGAAUAGCUCAGACUGUUGAUGAUGAUCACGGCACAUUUGUCGAGAGAUUUCAUGAAGAUGUAAUCGAUCGGCGAUGACAUCAAGUCAAAGAAAUGAUGAGGCGAAAGGUUAUUGAAACCACGAGUACGACACAAAGUCAAAAUCAAACUUGCUGUUCAAGGUGAAAUGAUAUGACGAGAAAGAUCGAUGUAAGCUUAGCUCAUCAUCGAAAAUUAUGCUCCGGGAAGAAGGACCAGGUAGCACAGUUAAAUUUUAGCACGAUAAUGAUAUAGCUAAUCAGGCUAGGAAGAACUUGAAGGAUUAUUAAACUCGUAAGCAACAAAAUUACUUAGAGUUGUUGAAUUCAGAGUGCGGAAUCGAUUCACUCAUUGGUGUUCUUGAGUGACUAAUAACUCAGAACCCGUGGAAUAUUGGAAUCGGCGAGAAAUAAUAGUUGAGGAAGAACUCAUAAGAAGUUAUGUAGUCCCGUGAUAUUCUCGAGAUACCAGAGGGUAAUACUUGAAGGAAGAUCAAAAUAGAGGUUACGGAGAUGCAUCGAUCUGUAGAAGACAAGUGCUUUAACUUGUCUGAGAAAUGGAAUCAGGGAGAAAAUAUGGUCGGAACCACGAUUGCAAAAGACCAGGUCUUAGAUAUAAGAUAGGGGAAUAAUUAAUUUAAGAGAAGCUUCCAUGAUAAGAUCUACAUCGUGUCCAUGGGCAUGAACACAAAGUUCAAGGUCGACUCCCACUUCUUCAAUGUAUAACCUUUCCUUCACUUCUCGUUUUCGAUGAAGUUGUAGUGUUGAAAUUAUAUCUGGCAAAACACCAGAAGAGUAUGACUCGUGAAAACUCUCGGGUUCGCACGGAUUAGGGAAAGCAUAGGUUCAACCCAUAGGGGCAUAUUAGGAACAUAUACCACAAACUUAAAGAGUAAAAAAACACAAGCUCGAAGGUAGAGCAUGGUUGACAAAAGGAGAGGAUACAAUUUACCAAAGGCGUUGUGUAUCAGGGGAAGACUCACAAGGAUUUUAAAUAUGCGGAUCUGCUGGAUAAUAAUCCACCAAAGGAUCUAGCGGACCAUAAAGAAUCAGAAGUGAGUAUCAAUGUUCAACCAGAAGAAGUAAUGCAGGGGCAUCGGAAUAUAGAAGUACAUGGAUAAUUUCAAAGCUUAAAUACAAAGUGAUUGCAAUUUCUAAACUGGGGAUCAAAAGCAGACGCUCUGAUCAUAGAUGGAUAGGUUGAAUGGACUUAGAGGCACAACCGAUCAAUUCUUGAUUGGGCAAGAACCAGCUCAUAACUGGAGCGAUGUCUGAGCCGGAAAGAAAAUUUCUAAGGAUUAAUUGAUGAUUGCGAGUAUUCGCACACAUGUUGAAUCAAUAGGAUCAGAAUGACAAUCACAAAGUAUUUAAAUGAAUAUUCACUAGACAUAUGGGAUUAACCAUAAUGCAAGCAGGCAAGGAGAAUCAAGAGCAAUAGGCUGCAGAGGAUUUUGAAAGAUCGGAUAGCAUUUUCAGGUAUUUUGGAAAGCAUAUGAACAACUGGGGAUGAACGAACCCCGGUUAAGUGAAUUUUCCGCAGUACAAAAGAAGUUGCAAAGCAGAAGGCACAAAGGAUUCUCGAAAUAACGGAGAGUACUAGGGAUAUCUUGUAACAACAGGAACAACUGGGGAAGAAUGUACAAGCGGCAAGGAUGUUAUUCACGGGGAUUAUCGGUGGUCAGGAACUGCAAAGCAGUGGGCACAGGGUCUCAGGAAACAUCGAGGAGUAUCUGCAGAAUCUUCUGGCGAAGCAAGCGAUCAUCUGUAGUGAAGGGGCUCUCUGGGAGGAAGUGGUUACGAGAUCCUAGAGUCAGAGUUAGUAAAAUCUUUAACCCGAAUAGACGAGAGAUCAGAGUCCCAGAGUAUUGACGAGGAAUAAAAAGAUCCUAAUACCACCCAAUGGCGACGUGGGCCCAUAAGUCACACAGCCAAGUUGGUAAAACAGUUUUGGACGACUAGACUUGACUUCGGCCAAGGAGUUGGAAAGGAGGCUACCUACAGGCAGUUGGCUCUGCUACCAACUUGUGACGCCCUCGAUUCAAUCGUACACUAAUCAUACACGCAAAUGUGUAUGAUCAAGAUCAAGGACUCACAGGAAGAUAUCACAACACAACUCUAGACACAAAUUAAAAUAAUACAAGAUUUAUAUUACAAGCCAGGGGCCUCGAGGGCUCGAAUACAUAAGCUCGAAUACACAAGAGUCAGCGGAAGCAACAAUAUCCGAGUACAGACAUGAGUUGGACAAGUUUUCCUUAAGAAGGCUAGCACAAAAGCAACAACGAUCAAAAAGGCAAGGCCUCCUGCAUGGGAGCCUCCUAACUACUCCUGGUCGUCGGCGGUCUCCACGUAGUAGCAGGCAUCGGCGAUAGCAUCUGCCUCCUGGGCUCCGACAUCUGGUUGCAUCAACCGGAAAGAAGAAGAAAUGGGGAAAAGGGGGAGCAAAGCAACCGUGAGUACUCAUCCAAAGUACUCGCAAGCAAGGAUCUACACUACAUAUGCAUCAGUAUCAACAAAAAGGGUUGUAUCUGUGGACUGGACUGCAGAAUGCCAGAAGAGAAGGGGAAAGCCUAGCCUAUCAAACACUAGCAUCUUCUGGAAACCACCAUCUUGCAGCAACAUGAGGGAGUAGAGUAGCAUAAAGUAAAGUAGUAGAAGUGUUAUCAACCUUGGCCAGAGAUCCUUUCUCGACUCCCUGCGAGAAAGCAAUCCCAGAGCCAUACUAUCCAUUUCUCAUAUCAAGUAUCCAGUUCCAGUUGUAUCGAUCGGGAUACAACUCCAAGUGUCUGUUACCGUAGGACAGGCUAUCGAUAGAUGUUUUCUUCCCUGCAGGGGUGCACCAACUUACCCACCACGCUCAAUUAACUCCGGCCGGACACACUUUCCUGGGUCAUGCCCGGCCUCGGCCAAACAAUAUGCCGCAACCCAACCUAGGCUUAAUAGAGAGGUCAGCACGCCGGACUAAACCUAUGCCCCCAGGGGUCAUGGGCCAUCUCCCGGGGAACUCCUGCACGUUGCGUACGCGGCCGGUGAGCAGACCUAGCUACCUCCUUUAAAAAGGCAGGUGCUUACCAGUCCAACCCGGCGCGUGCCGCUCAGUCGCUGAUGUCUAUUAAGCUUCGGCUGAUGCAUACGACGCAGAACGCCCAUACUAUGCCCACGUGAUGUUUAGUGCUAUCAGGCCAGAGGCCCCUCGGAUCAAAUAUCCAAAUCGUAGUGGAUUAGGAGCACGCGGUAACAAGCAGAGACUCACGAAAGAUGUGACCCCGUUGCCCCGUCUCGAGGACUUGCGGCAAGGGCUAGGAAUGCCCGGCCAUGCCUCGUAAUUAUCUCGCGGGCACCCUCCAGGUCAACCCGUCUCCACAUCACUUGCGGGUACCCCUCAGGGUCGACCCGCCUUUCCAAGUAACAGUGGUAAAGUCCAAGUAUCCGUGUGUCCAAACAUCAAGGGGAAAACCCGAGGAAAUCACCCCCGGUGAAUUCCACUCGAUGUAAUCAUCAAGGUGAACGUAAGAGGAACCACCCCCGAGGUUCAUACUUGAGGGGUUGCACGACAGAGUCGUAUCGGAAGUGGUUAAGGUGGAAUCACCCUCGAUGACCACGACCGAAUAGCUACACUAUAGGGUUAACAUCAGAAAUGUUGUAGAUGUCUCACCCACGGCACUCGAUAGUAACCUAGUAGUGUCGAGCAACUAAGGGGAAAGUGAUGUGCGGUGCCGGGGCCUGGUCUUCGAUCCCGGUUAUCGGGUCUUCAAUGAUGAAGCAGGGGCAACAAGGACAAGUGGGGGUCACUGAUGGAUCACUAACCAACCUAUACUAAGCAGUUUAGGAUAAGCAGAUAGGUAACAAUAAGCAGGUUACAAAAGCAGGCUAUGCAUUAGAAUAGGAGCAAACAAUAACAAUAGCAAAAUCUAAUGCAAGCAUGAGAGAAUGGAAUGGGCGAUAUCGGGAUGAUCAAAGGGGGGGCUUUCCUGGUUGCUCUGGCAAGUAGGGGUCGUCGUCGACGUAGUCGAUCACAGGGGCGGCAUCGGACUCGAGGUCUACCGGAGAGAAGAGGGGGAAGAAAUAGUAAAUACAUAGCAAACAGAGGUAUCACUAAGCAUGACAUGACGAUACGUAGUGCUAGGCGUGCUCUAACGCGGUACUACACGUUGCAGACGAAGGGGGAAACAUCCGGGGAUGAUUUCCCGGCGGUAGGCGAAUUUCGGACAGAUGAAAGAGAGGGGACGGUUCCAUGUUCAACAUGCUAGGGGUAUGUGACAGAUGAACGGACCGCGUAUUCUGAUUCGUUGGAUUUUUCUGAGCAACUUUCAUAUAGAAAACAUUUGCAUCCGAGCUAAGAUUAUUUUUCUACGAUUUUUCAAAGAUUUAUUGAUUUUCUGAAAUUUUCUGGAAUUAUUUUAAUCCGAAAAUUAAAAUCUUAAGUGCAGUCAACUCAGUCAAUUUUUGACUAGUCAACAAGUCACUGAAACUAACUAGUGUAUAGAUAAAAUUAUGGGGCCACAUGUCAUUGUUUUAUUUAGCAUAAAUUAGUAAACAACUAAACUAGCUAACCUAAUUAGUACUACUACCUAAUUAGUACUACAAAUUAGAGCAUGGCCGGCCACACAUCCUGCCACGGCUGUGUUGCCAUGGUCAACUCAUAUGGGCGCAGAGUCACGGCCAUUAGCAGCAGUAGCAAGCAACAGUCUAGUAGUAGGAUUAAGCAACAUCAGUAGUAAGCCGCAGUACAGGAGCAGCGGCGCAAGCGCAGCUAGCAGCAACAAUGGAGGAGCAACAGUAGGAAGCAAGAGCAUCAGCGCAGCAAUCAAUAGCAGCAGGCUCGGCAAGACAGCAUCAGCAGUAGGCGAGCGCACGCGCACGCGGGUUGGCGUAGCGGGGCGGCAACAGCAGCAGUGGCAGCGCCGCAAGCAGCAGCAGGCAGAGCGGCGCGUGGCCGCGGCGGCGCAGGGUAGCAGCAGCUGCGGCAGCAGGCGGGCGCGCGGACGGGUGCCGGCAAGGGAGUCCAGGGCGCGCACGGGGUGGCCGGGACUCGAGCCCAGCCACGGCGGCUUACGUUUGGGGGGCAUCUAUCGCGAUGGACUCGCAGGGGAUCAGGGGGGAAAUCGACGGGGUGCUCACCAGGGAGGACGCAGGCGAGCUUGAGAGUGGUUGGGGACGGACCGGAGCAGCGAAUCAACGGCGAGGUGCGGCGGCUGUGACGGUGAGGAAGUUGACCGUGGCAUCGUCUUGGGGCCUGCAGGUGCGAACGGAGUAGUUGGCGAGGACGAGCGCGACGUGACGGAGCUCCUGGUCACACCGGGAAGAUGAGAGGCGGUCGGUGGCCACGGUAUCGACGCGGCGACGGCGUCGACCCCGUCGGGUGCCUCUCCAGAUCGGGGAGGAGAGCGAGGGG
Molecule: long non-coding RNA, 7681 nt
Filed under: Triticum aestivum (bread wheat)
Lineage: Eukaryota; Viridiplantae; Streptophyta; Magnoliopsida; Poales; Poaceae
Description: long non-coding RNA (TAES_LNC017898)
Source: RNAcentral